CUUUUAGCAUAAAAUCUUCUCUUUCCCUAUAGAACAGAGCAACCAGUUUGAAGUAUCAAUAACCCUGAAAAAAAAAGUUGAAGCUUUUAAAAUAAGUUUGUUCUUGACAAGAAUGUCACCUGCCAUUCAUUUCUGUAUCACCUAAGUAAAGAUUUUAAACUGUUCCCUCAGAAUCUUCAUCACUCCAUAGAUGUUUGCAGGGUUCUUCUCUACAGCUCAAAGAAACACUUCUAUCACUAAAACUGCAAUGCUGACAGAAGUUUAAAAAGAGAAAAUGCAAGGACAGAAGAGUAGGAAUGUCAGCUGGCUAACUCUGGAGUUCAGUGACUCUUCAAAGACAAGAUCUCUUACUGCAGAGGCCCUCUUCAUCUCAUUGAUGAGCCAGAAUUAAAGUUUAUGUGGCACACUGGAUGAGGCACUGGAUCUAGAGUGAGGAAGAGCUGAGCUCAUAUCCAGCAUCAGAUUGUUACUGGCUAUGUGACUGGGCAAAUCACCCAACUUCUAUUUGUUUUCAAUUUCCUCAUCUAUAAAGCAGGAAUAAUACUGUCACCUUCAUCUAGGU
Molecule: long non-coding RNA, 562 nt
Filed under: Monodelphis domestica (gray short-tailed opossum)
Lineage: Eukaryota; Metazoa; Chordata; Mammalia; Didelphimorphia; Didelphidae
Description: lncRNA (ENSMODG00000043935.1)
Source: RNAcentral